CAGGGUGCCAGCCCGCUCGCUGCACGGAUUCUUGUGGUUUUCAGCCUGGUUUUUUGUGGGGUGGUUCUGCUUCAGAGCCCCCUUGGUGGUUAGGGCUGGCUGGGGGGGUUGGCACUGAGUUCCUGGUGGAUUGAAGCAUCCCAGGUUCUCUGCGGAGCUUGGAGCAGAAAUGGUCUCCAUCUCCAUGAGUACCCAAGGAGGUCACGGGAGUUGGCAGAGGCAUCUGUGCAGUGCCCAGAGAGCAGCCCCACUGAGGAGGGAGGAACUUGGUUUGGGCAGGGAGGAACUCAAAGCAGUGGAACUCUCCAGAUGGCUGUACCUGCCUGCUUGGCAUGUGGACUUCAGCAAAUCCUAAUAGCUACCAACACCAAAGGGGAGUUUUGUUUUCCAAAAUGCCAGUUCCAAGGAAAGAAAAUGUGGAGCGCCAUCUGCUGCGGGCAAUGCACCGAGCGACCCUUCAACAUCUGUUACAUCGUCAUCAUAACUGCACUGACGGAAAACAGGUACCAAAGUUGUGGUAUUUUGGUGUUUUGUACCCCAAGCCUUCGGGCAGUCAUUCCAGCAGGCAGAGAGCAGCUGAUCGCCACUGUCAAUCAGAAGAAAAUCUUAAAUGACCCCACUUGA
This 624-nucleotide long non-coding RNA is filed under the name Numida meleagris (helmeted guineafowl). Its description in RNAcentral is "lncRNA (ENSNMEG00000020719.1)". The record is from RNAcentral. Lineage: Eukaryota; Metazoa; Chordata; Aves; Galliformes; Numididae.